GAUGAACGCUAGCUACAGGCUUAACACAUGCAAGUCGAGGGGCAGCAUGGUCUUAGCUUGCUAAGGCCGAUGGCGACCGGCGCACGGGUGAGUAACACGUAUCCAACCUGCCGUCUACUCUUGGACAGCCUUCUGAAAGGAAGAUUAAUACAAGAUGGCAUCAUGAGUCCGCAUGUUCACAUGAUUAAAGGUAUUCCGGUAGACGAUGGGGAUGCGUUCCAUUAGAUAGUAGGCGGGGUAACGGCCCACCUAGUCUUCGAUGGAUAGGGGUUCUGAGAGGAAGGUCCCCCACAUUGGAACUGAGACACGGUCCAAACUCCUACGGGAGGCAGCAGUGAGGAAUAUUGGUCAAUGGGCGAGAGCCUGAACCAGCCAAGUAGCGUGAAGGAUGACUGCCCUAUGGGUUGUAAAACUUCUUUUUAUAAAGGAAUAAAGUCGGGUAUGUAUACCCGUUUGCAUGUACUUUA
RNAcentral lists this ribosomal RNA (467 nucleotides) under uncultured bacterium. Its description in RNAcentral is "bacterial SSU rRNA". It matches the Rfam family "Bacterial small subunit ribosomal RNA", at positions 28 to 482 of the family's 1533-position model. The record is from RNAcentral.